GGAAUAUUGGACAAUGGCCGCAAGGCUGAUCCAGCCAUCCAGCGUGCAGGAAGACGGCCCUACGGGUUGUAAACUGCUUUUGUCAGGGAAGAAACCUCUGGAUUUACUCCGGCGCUGACGGUAACUGAAGAAUAAGCACCGGCUAACUCCGUGCCAGCAGCCGCGGUAAUACGGAGGGUGCGAGCGUUAUCCGGAAUUACUGGGUUUAAAGGGUGCGUAGGCGGCUAUGUAAGUCAGGAGUGAAAGUUUGCGGCUCAACCGUAAAAUUGCUUUUGAUACUGCGUGGCUAGAAUUAGGAUGAGGUCAGCGGAAUGUGGCAUGUAGCGGUGAAAUGCAUAGAUAUGCCAUAGAACACCAAUUGCGAAGGCAGCUGGCUAGACCUGGAUUGACGCUGAGGCACGAAAGCGUGGGGAGCGAAC
RNAcentral lists this ribosomal RNA (419 nucleotides) under uncultured bacterium. Its description in RNAcentral is "bacterial SSU rRNA". It matches the Rfam family "Bacterial small subunit ribosomal RNA", at positions 358 to 773 of the family's 1533-position model. The record is from RNAcentral.